RNAcentral lists this ribosomal RNA (702 nucleotides) under uncultured beta proteobacterium. Its description in RNAcentral is "bacterial SSU rRNA". It matches the Rfam family "Bacterial small subunit ribosomal RNA", at positions 62 to 757 of the family's 1533-position model. Lineage: Bacteria; Pseudomonadati; Pseudomonadota; Betaproteobacteria. The record is from RNAcentral.
UCGAACGGCAGCACGGGUGCUUGCACCUGGUGGCGAGUGGCGAACGGGUGAGUAAUACAUCGGAACAUGUCCUGUAGUGGGGGAUAGCCCGGCGAAAGCCGGAUUAAUACCGCAUACGAUCUACGGAUGAAAGCGGGGGACCUUCGGGCCUCGCGCUAUAGGGUUGGCCGAUGGCUGAUUAGCUAGUUGGUGGGGUAAAGGCCUACCAAGGCGACGAUCAGUAGCUGGCCUGAGAGGACGACCAGCCACACUGGGACUGAGACACGGCCCAGACUCCUACGGGAGGCAGCAGUGGGGAAUUUUGGACAAUGGGCGAAAGCCUGAUCCAGCAAUGCCGCGUGUGUGAAGAAGGCCUUCGGGUUGUAAAGCACUUUUGUCCGGAAAGAAAUCCUUGGUUCUAAUAUAGCCGGGGGAUGACGGUACCGGAAGAAUAAGCACCGGCUAACUACGUGCCAGCAGCCGCGGUAAUACGUAGGGUGCGAGCGUUAAUCGGAAUUACUGGGCGUAAAGCGUGCGCAGGCGGUUUGCUAAGACCGAUGUGAAAUCCCCGGGCUCAACCUGGGAACUGCAUUGGUGACUGGCAGGCUAGAGUAUGGCAGAGGGGGGUAGAAUUCCACGUGUAGCAGUGGAAUGCGUAGAGAUGUGGAGGAAUACCGAUGGCGAAGGCAGCCCCCUGGGCCAAUACUGACGCUCAUGCACGAA